Molecule: ribosomal RNA, 196 nt
Filed under: Amycolatopsis marina
Lineage: Bacteria; Bacillati; Actinomycetota; Actinomycetes; Pseudonocardiales; Pseudonocardiaceae
Description: 16S rRNA. Bacterial SSU
Rfam family: Bacterial small subunit ribosomal RNA
Source: RNAcentral
CAUUGUUGGAGAGUUUGAUCCUGGCUCAGGACGAACGCUGGCGGCGUGCUUAACACAUGCAAGUCGAACGAUGAAGCCUUUCGGGGUGGAUUAGUGGCGAACGGGUGAGUAACACGUGGGUAAUCUGCCCUGUACUUUGGGAUAAGCCUUGGAAACGAGGUCUAAUACCGGAUAUGACUCUGCACCGCAUGGUGUG